UGGGAAUUUGGACAAUGGGCGAAGCUGAUCCAGCAAUGCCGCGUGUGUGAAGAAGGCCUUCGGGUUGUAAAGCACUUUUGUCCGGAAAGAAAUCCUUGGCUCUAAUACAGUCGGGGGAUGACGGUACCGGAAGAAUAAGCACCGGCUAACUACGUGCCAGCAGCCGCGGUAAUACGUAGGGUGCAAGCGUUAAUCGGAAUUACUGGGCGUAAAGCGUGCGCAGGCGGUUUGCUAAGACCGAUGUGAAAUCCCCGGGCUCAACCUGGGAACUGCAUUGGUGACUGGCAGGCUAGAGUAUGGCAGAGGGGGGUAGAAUUCCACGUGUAGCAGUGAAAUGCGUAGAGAUGUGGAGGAAUACCGAUGGCGAAGGCAGCCCCCUGGGCAAUACUGACGCUCAUGCACGAAAGCGUGGGGAGCAAAACAGGAUUAGAUACCCUGGUAGUCCACGCCCUAAACGAUGUCAACUAGUUGUUGGGGAUUCAUUUCCUUAGUAACGUAGCUAACGCGUGAAGUUGACCGCCUGGGGAGUACGGUCGCAAGAUUAAAACUCAAA
Molecule: ribosomal RNA, 553 nt
Filed under: uncultured bacterium
Lineage: Bacteria
Description: partial 16S ribosomal RNA
Rfam family: Bacterial small subunit ribosomal RNA
Source: RNAcentral